RNAcentral lists this ribosomal RNA (645 nucleotides) under uncultured bacterium. RNAcentral describes it as "bacterial SSU rRNA". It matches the Rfam family "Bacterial small subunit ribosomal RNA", at positions 232 to 885 of the family's 1533-position model. The record is from RNAcentral.
CGCGGCCUAUCAGCUUGUUGGUGAGGUAACGGCUCACCAAGGCAACGACGGGUAGCUGGUCUGAGAGGACGAUCAGCCACACUGGGACUGAGACACGGCCCAGACUCCUACGGGAGGCAGCAGCAGGGAAUAUUGCACAAUGGGCGAAAGCCUGAUGCAGCGACGCCGCGUGGGGGAUGAAGGCCUUCGGGUUGUAAACCCCUUUCAGGAGGGACGAAGCGAAAGUGACGGUACCUCCAGAAGAAGCCCCGGCCAACUACGUGCCAGCAGCCGCGGUAAUACGUAGGGGGCGAGCGUUGUCCGGAUUUAUUGGGCGUAAAGAGCUCGUAGGCGGCUCAACAAGUCGGCCGUGAAAGCCCGAGGCUUAACCUCGGGACGCCGGUCGAAACUGUUGUGGCUAGGGUCCGGUAGAAGAGAGUGGAAUUCCCGGUGUAGCGGUGAAAUGCGCAGAUAUCGGGAGGAACACCAGUAGCGAAGGCGGCUCUCUGGGCCGGCACCGACGCUGAGGAGCGAAAGCUAGGGGAGCAAACAGGAUUAGAUACCCUGGUAGUCCUAGCCGUAAACGAUGGGUACUAGGUGUGGCGGAUUCAUUGACAUCUGCCGUGCCGAAGCUAACGCAUUAAGUGCCCCGCCUGGGGAGUACGG